AUUGAACGCUGGCGGCAGGCUUAACACAUACAAGUCGAGCGGAGUGAUGGUGCUUGCACUAUCACUUAGCGGCGGACGGGUGAGUAAUGCUUAGGAAUCUGCCUAUUAGUGGGGGACAACAUCUCGAAAGGGAUGCUAAUACCGCAUACGUCCUACGGGAGAAAGCAGGGGAUCACUUGUGACCUUGCGCUAAUAGAUGAGCCUAAGUCGGAUUAGCUAGUUGGUGGGGUAAAGGCCUACCAAGGCGACGAUCUGUAGCGGGUCUGAGAGGAUGAGCGGCCACCCGGGGACGGAGACCCGGCCCAGACUCCUACGGGAGGCAGCAGUGGGGAAUAUUGGACAAUGGGGGGAACCCUGAUCAAGCCAUGCCGCGUGUGGGAAGAAGGCCUUAUGGUUGUAAAGCACUUUAAGCGAGGAGGAGGCUCUUUUGGUUAAUACCCAAGAUGAGUGGACGUUACUCGCAGAAUAAGCACCGGCUAACUCUGUGCCAGCCGCCGCCGUAA
RNAcentral lists this ribosomal RNA (503 nucleotides) under uncultured bacterium. RNAcentral's name for it is "partial 16S ribosomal RNA". It matches the Rfam family "Bacterial small subunit ribosomal RNA", at positions 30 to 523 of the family's 1533-position model. The record is from RNAcentral.